AUCGCUCGCGAAAGAAGCAGAAAAGCAGAGCUUUAUCGUCAAGAAUGAUCCAGGAUGCUCGGUCUAUAGAUCGUUCAAACGAUCUGACCAGACCAACACAUGCGCUGAGAAGGCAGCUCGGUUUUAUUACAACAAGCUCCACCCGGGUUUGUUUCUUCAUGAUCUUGAAGCACUAGACAGUCACAGUUUUGAUCGUCAUGAGUACGACAAACAGGAUCAGAAGGCCUAUUAUCAUGUCAAUUUCAAAGCCAAGAAAGGAAAUCGGACCAGUGAGCCAUCCAUUUUCUUUGCAGAAUUGUCCGGGGAGAAUGGACCUGAUAGAGUAACUAUCUGCGCAGAGUUGGAAUCCCCAGGUAAGAUAGAUAACUGCGCUUUCUGCACGGGAAUAUUCCAUCCACCAGACGAUUUCGUCGGCUUCAUGUCUCCUGAUCAUCCAGUCUAGAGGGUAGCCCAAGGAUGCAAAUUGCAAAUGGACGAAUGGCCAAAUGAUCUGUCGCGAAACUACCCACUCAGCGCGUUCUGCUUUUCCUUUUCUAACUUUUCCCUUUUAACUCAAUUUUUGACAAAUUCUGUUACCAACGGAUGGGCCAUGUUGGAUCAGAAAAGCUAAUCCCCAUCAAGGAUAAUCAUCCUCCAACUAGGAUGAAACAACUCAUCCCAAAGAAAAAUCUUUCAUAGAGCACGUGGCUUUAGCCGGUCUUAUUAUUUUUCAU
Oryza brachyantha (malo sina) is the source of this 713-nucleotide long non-coding RNA. RefSeq lists it as uncharacterized. NCBI's taxonomy places the organism in Eukaryota, Viridiplantae, Streptophyta, Magnoliopsida, Poales, Poaceae. The record is from RefSeq and is a predicted model, not a curated record. The transcript has 4 exons.